This 253-nucleotide ribosomal RNA is filed under the name uncultured bacterium. RNAcentral describes it as "partial 16S ribosomal RNA". It matches the Rfam family "Bacterial small subunit ribosomal RNA", at positions 524 to 776 of the family's 1533-position model. The record is from RNAcentral.
GACAGAGGGUGCAAACGUUGUUCGGAAUUACUGGGCGUAAAGCGAGUGUAGGCGGCCCGGCAAGUCGGGUGUGAAAGCCCUGGGCUCAACCCAGGAAGUGCACUCGAAACUGCCGGGCUAGAGUAUCGGAGAGGUUGGUGGAAUUCUCGGUGUAGAGGUGAAAUUCGUAGAUAUCGAGAGGAACACCGGUGGCGAAGGCGGCAUCCUGGACCGGCAUUGACGCUGAGGCGCGAAAGCUAGGGGAGCAAACGGG